GGCAAAAGCAAAGCUAAUGCUGGGAAGAUGCCUCAAGUUGGACAAGGAAAACCUGAUUUGGGAUCAAGUGAAAGUUUGCGUCCUGCCAAAAAGUUGAAGCGAGGAGACAUAGGGGAGAGUAAGGGAUCACUCAGCAACAACAUAAAGGUUGCCUCUUCUUCUAAACCUGUUGUGGCUGAUGAAAAAGUGGUUAAAAAAUCUGAGUUCAAAAAGUUGACGCCCACUCUUAAAUCAG
This 235-nucleotide unclassified non-coding RNA is filed under the name Hevea brasiliensis (rubber tree). The record is from RNAcentral. Lineage: Eukaryota; Viridiplantae; Streptophyta; Magnoliopsida; Malpighiales; Euphorbiaceae.